RNAcentral lists this ribosomal RNA (490 nucleotides) under uncultured bacterium. RNAcentral describes it as "partial 16S ribosomal RNA". It matches the Rfam family "Bacterial small subunit ribosomal RNA", at positions 30 to 507 of the family's 1533-position model. The record is from RNAcentral.
AUUGAACGCUGGCGGCAGGCCUAACACAUGCAAGUCGAACGGUAACAGGAAGACGCUUGCUUCUUUGCUGACGAGUGGCGGACGGGUGAGUAAUGUCUGGGAAACUGCCUGAUGGAGGGGGAUAACUACUGGAAACGGUAGCUAAUACCGCAUAACGUCGCAAGACCAAAGAGGGGGACCUUCGGUCCUCUUGCCAUCGGAUGUGCCCAGAUGGGAUUAGCUAGUAGGUGGGGUAACGGCUCACCUAGGCGACGAUCCCUAGCUGGUCUGAGAGGAUGACCAGCCACACUGGAACUGAGACACGGUCCAGACUCCUACGGGAGGCAGCAGUGGGGAAUAUUGCACAAUGGGCGCAAGCCUGAUGCAGCCAUGCCGCGUGUAUGAAGAAGGCCUUCGGGUUGUAAAGUACUUUCAGCGGGGAGGAAGGGAGUAAAGUUAAUACCUUUGCUCAUUGACGUUACCCGCAGAAGAAGCACCGGCUAACUCCGUG